This 74-nucleotide transfer RNA is filed under the name Prevotellaceae bacterium. RNAcentral describes it as "tRNA-Ala". It matches the Rfam family "tRNA". From Rfam's summary of the family: Transfer RNA (tRNA) molecules are approximately 80 nucleotides in length. Their secondary structure includes four short double-helical elements and three loops (D, anti-codon, and T loops). Lineage: Bacteria; Pseudomonadati; Bacteroidota; Bacteroidia; Bacteroidales; Prevotellaceae. The record is from RNAcentral.
GGGGGAUUAGCUCAGCUGGCUAGAGCACCUGCCCUGCAAGCAGGGGGUCAUCGGUUCGAAUCCGAUAUCCUCCA